This 429-nucleotide ribosomal RNA is filed under the name uncultured bacterium. Its description in RNAcentral is "bacterial SSU rRNA". It matches the Rfam family "Bacterial small subunit ribosomal RNA", at positions 32 to 507 of the family's 1533-position model. The record is from RNAcentral.
AACGCUGGCGGCAGGCCUAACACAUGCAAGUCGAGCGAACCCUUCGGGGUUAGCGGCGGACGGGUUAGUAACGCGUGGGAAUAUACCCUUUGGUACGGAAUAGCCUCGGGAAACUGAGAGUAAUACCGUAUGUGCCCUUCGGGGGAAAGAUUUAUCGCCAAAGGAUUAGCCCGCGUUGGAUUAGAUAGUUGGUGGGGUAAUGGCCUACCAAGUCUACGAUCCAUAGCUGGUUUGAGAGGAUGAUCAGCAACACUGGGACUGAGACACGGCCCAGACUCCUACGGGAGGCAGCAGUGGGGAAUCUUAGACAAUGGGCGCAAGCCUGAUCUAGCCAUGCCGCGUGGACGAUGAAGGCCUUAGGGUUGUAAAGUCCUUUCAGAUGGGAAGAUAAUGACGGUACCAUCAGAAGAAGCCCCGGCUAACUCCGUG